GUCCGGGUGGUGGAAUUGGUAGACACGCUACUUUGAGGGGGUAGUGGCCGUUCGGCUGUGUGAGUUCGAAUCUCAUCUCGGACA
This 84-nucleotide transfer RNA is filed under the name Bacteroides sp. RNAcentral describes it as "tRNA-Leu". It matches the Rfam family "tRNA". From Rfam's summary of the family: Transfer RNA (tRNA) molecules are approximately 80 nucleotides in length. Their secondary structure includes four short double-helical elements and three loops (D, anti-codon, and T loops). Further hydrogen bonds mediate the characteristic L-shaped molecular structure. tRNAs have two regions of fundamental functional importance: the anti-codon, which is responsible for specific mRNA codon recognition, and the 3' end, to which the tRNAs corresponding amino acid is attached (by aminoacyl-tRNA synthetases). tRNAs cope with the degeneracy of the genetic code in two manners: having more than one tRNA (with a specific anti-codon) for a particular amino acid; and 'wobble' base-pairing, i.e. permitting non-standard base-pairing at the 3rd anti-codon position. The record is from RNAcentral. RNAcentral also lists the same sequence under 8 other names. Lineage: Bacteria; Pseudomonadati; Bacteroidota; Bacteroidia; Bacteroidales; Bacteroidaceae.